This 207-nucleotide ribosomal RNA is filed under the name uncultured bacterium. RNAcentral's name for it is "partial 16S ribosomal RNA". It matches the Rfam family "Bacterial small subunit ribosomal RNA", at positions 568 to 774 of the family's 1533-position model. The record is from RNAcentral.
CGUGUAGGCGGUUUGGUAAGUUGGACGUGAAAGCUCCUGGCUCAACUAGGAGAGGUCGUUCAAUACUGUCAGACUUGAGGAUGGUAGAGGGAGGUGGAAUUCCGGGUGUAGUGGUGAAAUGCGCAGAUAUCCGGAGGAACACCAGUGGCGAAAGCGGCCUCCUGGACCACUCCUGACGCUCAGACGCGAAAGCUAGGGUAGCAAACG